CGCGCAGGUGGUCUAUCAAGUCUGGUGUGAAAGCCCAGGGCUCAACCCUGGAACUGCAUUGGAAACUAGUAGACUUGAGUCCAAGAGGGGUUAGUGGAAUUCCUGGUGUAGGGGUGAAAUCCGUAGAGAUCAGGAGGAACACCAGUGGCGAAGGCGACUGACUGGAUUGGAACUGACACUGAGGCGCGAAAGUGUGGGGAGCAAACAGGAUUAGAUACCCUGGUAGUCC
RNAcentral lists this ribosomal RNA (229 nucleotides) under uncultured bacterium. RNAcentral describes it as "partial 16S ribosomal RNA". It matches the Rfam family "Bacterial small subunit ribosomal RNA", at positions 568 to 796 of the family's 1533-position model. The record is from RNAcentral.